RNAcentral lists this ribosomal RNA (232 nucleotides) under uncultured Enterobacterales bacterium. RNAcentral describes it as "partial 16S ribosomal RNA". It matches the Rfam family "Bacterial small subunit ribosomal RNA", at positions 99 to 334 of the family's 1533-position model. Lineage: Bacteria; Pseudomonadati; Pseudomonadota; Gammaproteobacteria; Enterobacterales. The record is from RNAcentral.
CGGACGGGUGAGUAAUGUCUGGGAAACUGCCUGAUGGAGGGGGAUAACUACUGGAAACGGUAGCUAAUACCGCAUAACGUCGCAAGACCAAAGAGGGGGACCUUCGGGCCUCUUGCCAUCAGAUGUGCUCAGAUGGGAUUAGCUAGUAGGUGGGGUAACGGCUCACCUAGGCGACGAUCCCUAGCUGGUCUGAGAGGAUGACCAGCCACACUGGAACUGAGACACGGUCCAG